RNAcentral lists this transfer RNA (77 nucleotides) under Candidatus Endonucleibacter bathymodioli. Its description in RNAcentral is "tRNA-Arg". It matches the Rfam family "tRNA". From Rfam's summary of the family: Transfer RNA (tRNA) molecules are approximately 80 nucleotides in length. Their secondary structure includes four short double-helical elements and three loops (D, anti-codon, and T loops). The record is from RNAcentral. Lineage: Bacteria; Pseudomonadati; Pseudomonadota; Gammaproteobacteria; Oceanospirillales; Endozoicomonadaceae.
GCGCCCGUAGCUCAGCUGGAUAGAGCAACGGCCUUCUAAGCCGUAGGUCGCAGGUUCGAAUCCUGCCGGGUGCGCCA